This 206-nucleotide long non-coding RNA is filed under the name Elaeis guineensis (African oil palm). RNAcentral's name for it is "long non-coding RNA (EGUI_LNC074498)". The record is from RNAcentral. Lineage: Eukaryota; Viridiplantae; Streptophyta; Magnoliopsida; Arecales; Arecaceae.
AAUUUUAAAACUUUUUCAAAAUUAUUAUUUUAUAGUGAAAUUAUUAAUUAAUCUUAUUAAUUAAUACUAAUUAACCCUACACUAGGAUCUAAAUAUGAUACAACAGCAUGCAUUUAAAUUUGAAAUUCAAAUUUGAAUCAGUAAACCUUUUACAGUAUUGUGUUCAGAACACAUCACCUUUUGCGGGUAGUCGAUCACUGCAAUCU